AGCUAGUUGGUGAGGUAAUGGCCCACCAAGGCGACGAUCGGUAGCCGGACUGAGAGGUUGUACGGCCACAUUGGGACUGAGACACGGCCCAGACUCCUACGGGAGGCAGCAGUGGGGAAUAUUGCACAAUGGGGGAAACCCUGAUGCAGCGACGCCGCGUGGAGGAAGAAGGUCUUCGGAUUGUAAACUCCUGUUGUUGAGGAAGAUAAUGACGGUACUCAACAAGGAAGUGACGGCUAACUACGUGCCAGCAGCCGCGGUAAAACGUAGGUCACAAGCGUUGUCCGGAGUUACUGGGUGUAAAGGGAGCGCAGGCGGGAAGACAAGUUGGAAGUGAAAUCCAUGGGCUCAACCCAUGAACUGCUUUCAAAACUGUUUUUCUUGAGUAGUGCAGAGGUAGGCGGAAUUCCCGGUGUAGCGGUGGAAUGCGUAGAUAUCGGGAGGAACACCAGUGGCGAAGGCGGCCUACUGGGCACCAACUGACGCUGAGGCUCGAAAGUGUGGGUAGCAAACAGGAUUAGAUACCCUGGUAGUCCACACUGUAAACGAUGAUUACUAGGUGUUGGAGGAUUGACCCCUUCAGCGCCGCAGUUAACACAAUAAGUAAUCCACCUGGGGAGUACGACCGCAAGGUUGAAACUCAAAGGAAUUGACGGGGGCCCGCACAAGCAGUGGAGUAUGUGGUUUAAUUCGACGCAACGCGAAGAACCUUACCAAGUCUUGACAUCCUGCGACGCACAUAGAAAUAUGUGUUUCCUUCGGGACGCAGAGACAGGUGGUGCAUGGUUGUCGUCAGCUCGUGUCGUGAGAUGUUGGGUUAAGUCCCGCAACGAGCGCAACCCUUAUGGUCAGUUACUACGCAAGAGGACUCUGGCCAGACUGCCGUUGACAAAACGGAGGAAGGUGGGGAUGACGUCAAAUCAUCAUGCCCUUUAUGACUUGGGCUACACACGUACUACAAUGGCGUUAAACAAAGAGAAGCAAGACCGCGAGGUGGAGCAAAACUCAGAAACAACGUCCCAGUUCGGACUGCAGGCUGCAACUCGCCUGCACGAAGUCGGAAUUGCUAGUAAUCGCAGAUCAGCAUGCUGCGGUGAAUACGUUCCCGGGCCUUGUACACACCGCCCGUCACACCAUGAGAGCCGGGGGGACCCGAAGUCGGUAGUCUAACCGCAAGGAGGACGCCGCCGAAGGUAAAACUGGUGAUUGGGGUGAAGUCGUAACAAGGUAGCCGUAGGAGAACCUGCGGCUG
Molecule: ribosomal RNA, 1252 nt
Filed under: metagenome
Description: bacterial SSU rRNA
Rfam family: Bacterial small subunit ribosomal RNA
Source: RNAcentral